This 73-nucleotide transfer RNA is filed under the name Camelus bactrianus (Bactrian camel). It matches the Rfam family "tRNA". Rfam says of the family: Transfer RNA (tRNA) molecules are approximately 80 nucleotides in length. RNAcentral also lists the same sequence under 2 other names. Lineage: Eukaryota; Metazoa; Chordata; Mammalia; Artiodactyla; Camelidae. The record is from Rfam by way of RNAcentral.
GAGGGUACAGCUCAAGUGGCAGAGCUCGUGCUUAGCAUGCAUAAGGUUCUGGGUUCAAUCCCCAGUGCCUCCU